Molecule: ribosomal RNA, 465 nt
Filed under: uncultured bacterium
Lineage: Bacteria
Description: partial 16S ribosomal RNA
Rfam family: Bacterial small subunit ribosomal RNA
Source: RNAcentral
CCUACGGGAGGCAGCAGUGGGGAAUAUUGCGCAAUGGGCGAAAGCCUGACGCAGCGACGCCGCGUGAGGGAUGAAGGUCUUCGGAUCGUAAACCUCUGUCAGCAGGGAAGAACGGUCACUGUGCUAAUCAGCAGUGAAUUGACGGUACCUGAGGAAUAAGCCACGGCUAACUACGUGCCAGCAGCUGCGGUAAUACGUAGGGGGCAAGCGUUAUCCGGAUUUACUGGGUGUAAAGGGAGCGUAGACGGCUGUACAAGUCUGAAGUGAAAGCCCGUGGCUCAACCGCGGAACUGCUUUGGAGACUGUAAAGCUGGAGUACUGGAGAGGCAGGCGGAAUUCCUAGUGUAGCGGUGAAAUGCGUAGAUAUUAGGAGGAACACCAGUGGCGAAGGCGGCCUGCUGGACAGAAACUGACGUUGAGGCUCGAAAGCGUGGGGAGCAAACAGGAUUAGAUACCCUGGUAGUC